This 513-nucleotide ribosomal RNA is filed under the name uncultured bacterium. RNAcentral's name for it is "partial 16S ribosomal RNA". It matches the Rfam family "Bacterial small subunit ribosomal RNA", at positions 29 to 523 of the family's 1533-position model. The record is from RNAcentral.
AACGAACGCUGGCGGCGUGCCUAACACAUGCAAGUCGAGCGCGAAAAGGGCAACCUGAGUAGAGCGGCGCACGGGUGCGUAACACGUGGGUAAUCUGCCUUAGAGUCGAGGAUAACCUUCCGAAAGGUUGGCUAAUACUCGGUAAGCUUACGGUGUCUUCGGACGCUGUGGGCAAAGUAGGCCUCUGUUUACAAGCUUACGCUCUGAGAUGAGCCCGCGGCCCAUCAACUAGUUGGCGGUGUAACGGACCACCAAGGCAACGACGGGUAGCUGGUCUGAGAGGACGAUCAGCCACACUGGAACUGAGACACGGUCCAGACUCCUACGGGAGGCAGCAGUGGGGAAUUUUCCACAAUGGGCGAAAGCCUGAUGGAGCAACGCCGCGUGUGUGAUGAAGGAUUUCGGAUCGUAAAGCACUUUCGACCGGGACGAAAAACCUCUGGCUAACAUCCAGGGGCCUGACGGUACCGGGAGAAGAAGCACCGGCUAACUCUGUGCCAGCAGCCGCCGUAA